GCGCUUUCUUUGACAGCACAUAUGCUAAAAUUGGAAUGAUACAGAGAUCAGCGUGGCCCCAUGCAAGGAGGACUUGCAAAUUCAUGAAGUGGUCCAUGUGUUU
This is a small nuclear RNA of Mastomys coucha (southern multimammate mouse), 103 nucleotides long. The record is from RefSeq and is a predicted model, not a curated record. Lineage: Eukaryota; Metazoa; Chordata; Mammalia; Rodentia; Muridae.